RNAcentral lists this unclassified non-coding RNA (251 nucleotides) under uncultured fungus. RNAcentral describes it as "partial contains 5.8S ribosomal RNA, internal transcribed spacer 2, and large subunit ribosomal RNA". Lineage: Eukaryota; Fungi. The record is from RNAcentral.
AACGCACAUUGCGCCCCCUGGUAUUCCGGCGGGCAUGCCUGUUCGAGCGUCAUUUCAACCCUCAAGCUCUGCUUGGUAUUGGGAGCUGGCCCCCCGGGGCCUUCCCGAAAGUUAGCGGCGAUGCGGCCGGAUUCCCAGCGCAGUGACAUUUUAUUCUCGCUGAUUGGAUCCCCGGGCGACGUCUGCCGGGCAACCAACCCAAUUUUCUCAAGAUUGACCUCGGAUCAGGUAGGGAUACCCGCUGAACUUAA